GAGUAUAAGGUCUCUAUGGCUUUGUUUUUUUAAGACGCCAGCUUGAUGGUAUUAUAGAUCUUUACAUCUAGAAUUUGAUCUUUCCGAAAAAACCUACCUUUUUAAGACUGAAGGAUCAAAAUCAAUCAUCUUUGGAUUAACCAAUUUUAAGGCAGGUCAUUUUGCCUUCUUAAUAUUUAAAGAUUUUACUAUCUAUCCUUAUAUCGUUUAUUUCAGUAACGCUGGGGGUAUUUUCCUCAUCAGGGGGUUGGGCCCCGCUGAAAGGGUAUAAGGCUUAAGUUCCCAAAGUCAUUUGAUGGACGUGGUCAAGCAAAACCGGAUCCAAAUCUUGAUAGAAGUUGCCAAACACAUCGGUAUUUAAGAUAAAUUAGUAACCACAACUGAAACAUAUGAUAAGGCAACAUCAACAUUUAUGUGCUAGAAAAGCAUCUAGGUAACAUUAGAACUUUAAGAUAUUUUUACCUUUGUCGUUGAAAUCAGCGGUAGAGGUAUAGACCAAAUGAACAUUCGAAAUGACCCAUACGGAAUAUAUGGCGCAAACCCGUUGGGAGAGUUGUUAAUUCUCUAGGUAAGCUUCUUGUGCCUCUGAUUAAAUUCAUUCUUCAGGGGGAUAGACCCUCUGAAGAAUGAAUUUACUUUAAUAAAAUAAGAAAAUCAACCUCAACCACCUUGGAAUCCACCAAGAGCCUUCUUCUAUCGCUUUUUUUAAUAGGGAUUUCAGCUUUGAUUUUCCUUGCAUAUUUGGUUACGAAGGUAUCUAAGCUAGGACCAAAUAAAUGUUAAUAUUGAAGGUGUGGAUAAGUAAACAGUAAACCCUAUUAAAGGGUAUAUUUCUUUCUUUUUCUCAGUUUCUUUCCUACCCUCUACAAAGGGUACAGUUUAGUUUUUUCUCUCCACUCUCUAUGAUAUUGUUACACAUAGUCCGACGGACAAAGGAACAUCAACCUAGAGGGUGAAAAACCUUACAAGGUUUAAGGUGAACUCGUAGGUUUAGACCUAGUUAUGGUCGUUUUUGUAGAGCCUUGUUACAAGAUCGCGGUACGGUUUACACAGGCUUUUUCUUCUCGUUUCGUUUCCAUCGUACUGGUUUUCACUUGGUUGGGGAACCUGACGACGCUUUUUGUGGUAGUCUAAAGUUUCAUCGGGCCAGAUUAAGUUUUUAAAGGGGAUUAACUCUUGCGGAGUGUAUAAAAAAAUGUCAUCGUCCUAGUCUUAUUGAAUGAGGUAAUUCAAGCGGAUGAACAAGUUGUGAUAUAAACCUAAGACGAGAAGAUUUUCCUUGCAGACGAGAUUGUUAAGGGAGGAGUAGAUGGUUUUGUUGGCCUUUACAAAGUUUUUUUCAUCCGUAUGCCGCAUGUUUUUCGAGUGCAGGAAGAAAUAGAGAUUUCUGCCCUACAGGAUUGGUAGGUUGUCGAUAAGGUAGGGGUAACAGGUAACUCGGACGAGACUUAUUAGGGGGAAAACGGCCUAAUAAUGGUUAUAUUAGUAUUUUCCGAUUAAAAGCCCUUAAAAUCUGGUUCGAAGACUAUUUGAUUCUAAAAGCCGAUUUGGUAACGAUUGAGAAGCUAUAUAAAGAACGACUUUCAUAGGGACUAGGGUGACUAUUGCUCAUCCGGGUUUAUUAAGCUAACCCCAGCAACGAGUGGGUAUGGUGUAUCAAGGUCGUUGAUGCUUUCGACGUUUUUUUGUCGUCGCUAUGAUGAUCUUUCAUGUCAAAGUUAUAACGGGUAUGCAUUAGGAAAUAUAUCUGCAACUCCGCCUGCCUGUGAUUCUACCUUAUUCGGGCGAUUAUAUGGGUUACAUGGGCGUCGUUAUACUACUCUUCGAUAAGGGGGGCCUUGUUUUCCUUGUUUUGGAAGACGUGGGGUGUGACCUAAAUAUCGAACAUGAAAAGGUCAAUCAGGUAUUCCUAGCCUAUGGGUAUAGGGUCCUGGUAUGUUUGGGCAAUGUACUUUACGGGGUUUCGGUUUCGUUCGGUGGGGACGUUAUUUAUUUACUUAAGGUUUCUAGAACCCGUAUAGGUUUCUCCCAAAAGGGCAGGCGAGUAGUCUCUUAUAAAGAUCCAGGGUUAUAUGGGUUACGGUCUAGCGACGGUUCUUUGUGUUCGGUCUUUUGUGUUAUACGCAUGGACGGUGUGGAAGUAUUGAGGUUUAUGGGCCUAAACAAUGUCAAGGAGGACUUUAUGAGGUUGGUGGGGUGCUUAGGCAAUAAGGAUUUGCUCAGUACUUCCCUUAAUGCUUGUAUGGAACAGAGGUGUAACCUAGGUCUUGUCCUAGUCUCCCUAGUCUUUGACGAUUAAGUAUAUUUCGGUAACUCGGUCGGGUUGGUCUUUGAUCUCGACACACGUAAUAUACGUGGCGUUCGUUAGCUGGGCAUAGUAAGUUAUGCUGUCACACUUGUGCUAUGGUUCCGUUUGGGUACCUUUAUGGGGAAAUCGUUUCUUUUUAUCUGUGCUACAGCGAAAUAAAAUAGCGUAACUUUUUCUGAUAGGUAUAGGAUACAUGGAUUGGGAAGAUCCCCUAAGACACAGUCUUUCGCGCUUAUAAAUAAAGUAAGGUAAUUUUUAUUCUUCGGUUAAGACAA
RNAcentral lists this ribosomal RNA (2583 nucleotides) under Triticum aestivum (bread wheat). Its description in RNAcentral is "partial small subunit ribosomal RNA". The record is from RNAcentral. Lineage: Eukaryota; Viridiplantae; Streptophyta; Magnoliopsida; Poales; Poaceae.